This 865-nucleotide ribosomal RNA is filed under the name Athelia arachnoidea. RNAcentral describes it as "partial large subunit ribosomal RNA". It matches the Rfam family "Eukaryotic large subunit ribosomal RNA", at positions 66 to 915 of the family's 3401-position model. Lineage: Eukaryota; Fungi; Basidiomycota; Agaricomycetes; Atheliales; Atheliaceae. The record is from RNAcentral.
UAACAGGAUUCCCCUAGUAACUGCGAGUGAAGCGGGAAAAGCUCAAAUUUAAAAUCUGGCUGCCUUCGGUGGUCCGAGUUGUAAUCUGGAGAAGCGUUUUCCGCGUCGGACCGUGUACAAGUCUUCUGGAACGGAGCGUCAUAGAGGGUGAGAAUCCCGUCUCUGACACGGACUACCGAUGCUUUUGUGAUGCGCUCUCGAAGAGUCGAGUUGUUUGGGAAUGCAGCUCAAAAUGGGAGGUAAAUUCCUUCUAAAGCUAAAUAUUGGCUAGAGACCGAUAGCGAACAAGUACCGUGAGGGAAAGAUGAAAAGCACUUUGGAAAGAGAGUUAAACAGUACGUGAAAUUGUUGAAAGGGAAACGCUUGAAGUCAGUCGCGUUGAUCGAGACUCAGCCUGGCUUGCCUGGUGUACUUCUCGGUUGACGGGUCAGCAUCAGUUUUGACCGCCGGAUAAAGGUUGGAGGAAUGUGGCAUCCUUCGGGAUGUGUUAUAGCCUCUGAUUCGCAUACGGCGAUUGGGACUGAGGAACUCAGCACGCCUUUAUGGUCGGGGUUCGCCCACGUAACGUGCUUAGGAUGCUGGCAUAAUGGCUUUAAGCGACCCGUCUUGAAACACGGACCAAGGAGUCUAACAUGCCCGCGAGUGUUUGGGUGUCAAACCCGAGCGCGUAAUGAAAGUGAAAGUUGAGAUCCCUGUCGUGGGGAGCAUCGACGCCCGGACCAGACCUUCUGUGACGGAUCUGCGGUAGAGCGUGUAUGUUGGGACCCGAAAGAUGGUGAACUAUGCCUGAAUAGGGUGAAGCCAGAGGAAACUCUGGUGGAGGCUCGUAGCGAUUCUGACGUGCAAAUCGAUCGUCGAAUUUGGG